CAGAGUUUGUCUGAUGGGACUGACCCAGCUGCUGCUGGGAAUUUGGUGAUGCAGAGCACAGAGGCAGCAGAGGGAUUUCAGUACCCUGAGGAAGCAUCAGGAGUAUUCAGAUGUCUCCAAAGGCAGCCAGGUCAGAUGUAUAAUGAGCCUCUGUCGCACACCGGGAGUCGCUGAAACUUUGAAAAGGAGGUUAUGGUCUGCUGCAAACCCUGCCAUGGUAUUGGGGUUAACUGGGCACCUGACACUGCAACACUGGGCAGCCUGGAUUCUGUCAGCAAGCUUAAAUCACCAUUCACUCUGUCCUAUCUUGCAACAGAGAAAUCUUUGGAAGUGAAAAUGCAAAGCCACAGCUGCAGUUGGCUGAGCAGCACGGCGCUCAGGCCCCAUGUUUGGCUCCCCACGGCUGUCUCUCGCUUGCUGGAUGGAGGCUCAGGAUCUCCCCAGGGGCAAGGCAGAGCUUCAGGGGGUGUUAGCAACAAGUCAAACAGAGAUGAGCAGGACCCUGUGAGCCGGGGGUGAGGAUGGACAAUGAGUAUUGUUGGUCCAGGCUCCAUCUUCUUCCAAGCUGCUCCUCAUUUGGCUGCCUUCUCCAGCCCAAAGGGCCAUUCCUGUGGAAACCCCCCUUCCCUUCUGCUGGCUGGGAGCAGAGGGCCCACAGCCAUGCUCCAGCUGGGGUUUCCUGGUUCCCUGCCUAUCUCCCGGGCGCCUUUGUAUGCUGUGAUUUACAUUAGGGUUUUCGGUGUUAUUUAAUCAGAAAUUUGGGCUCGGGUGGUUGUUUGGGGUUUCUUUGCUCUUGUUUUCUUAGCAUUAGUGACUGGCUCCUGGGAGCUCGCUGCAGACAGCCGUGCUGACAGCACUGGGCUUUGGUGUGGUGCUGGUGCUCCGUGCACAAAUUGAAAACUGGGAUGAGGAUAAGGCUUGGCUUACGCUCCUCGUGGGGCUGCAUGUGCAGGGUAAGAAGGUAAAG
This is a long non-coding RNA of Cygnus olor (mute swan), 967 nucleotides long. RefSeq lists it as uncharacterized. The transcript is spliced from 3 exons. Lineage: Eukaryota; Metazoa; Chordata; Aves; Anseriformes; Anatidae. The record is from RefSeq and is a predicted model, not a curated record.